Molecule: ribosomal RNA, 117 nt
Filed under: Chloroflexota bacterium
Lineage: Bacteria; Bacillati; Chloroflexota
Description: partial 16S ribosomal RNA
Rfam family: Bacterial small subunit ribosomal RNA
Source: RNAcentral
CCUGAAGCCGGUGGGCUAACCCCUAUGGGGAGGCAGCCGUUCAAGGUGGGACUGGUGAUUGGGACGAAGUCGUAACAAGGUAGCCGUAGCGGAAGCUGCGGCUGGAUCACCUCCUUU